Molecule: long non-coding RNA, 399 nt
Filed under: Marmota monax (woodchuck)
Lineage: Eukaryota; Metazoa; Chordata; Mammalia; Rodentia; Sciuridae
Source: RNAcentral
GACCUUUCAGUUUUCCUGUAAGUUGGCCAGGGAGGGACACUGGUCUGAGAGAUUACUUAGUUUCCCUACAUGGGGAUAUUUUAGAAAAAAGCACCAAGGGGUGCACCAUUGUGCUUGUAAUACUUAACUUUGGUUAUUAGAUUGCUUGUGAGUGAAUGUGCCAACCUGAAGAGACAUUACUGUCAGUGGAUGGAUAACAUUGGUAGCAUGUGCAAGGCUCUAGGUUCAGCACGGAAGAAAAAAGCAAGUCCACUGGGUGGCCUGUGUUCUCCCACUUUAGCCCUGCUGCAGCCUCUUAACUGGACCUUCUGUGAGGACCACUGAGAAGAUGCUUCCUCCCAGGCCUGCCCUCACUGGCUCAGUUUUUAAAAAAAAUAUUUUUAGUUGUAUAAGGAUGCA